ACAGCUCAGUAACACGUGGACAACGUACCCAAAGGUCUGGGAUAACUCCGGGAAACUGGGGAUAAUACCGGAUAGGUCAAGAGUACUGGAAGGGUUUUUUUGAUUGAAAGCUCUGGCGCCUUUGGAUGGGUCUGCGGCUGAUUAGGUUGACGCCGGUGUAAAGUACCGGCGUGCCGAUUAUCAGUACGGGUUGUGGGAGCAAGAGCCCGGAGAUGGAUUCUGAGACACGAAUCCAGGCCCUACGGGGCGCAGCAGGCGCGAAAACUCUACAAUGCAGGCAACUGCGAUAGGGGAACAUCGAGUGGCAUCUACAUUAGGUGUCUGUCCAGCUGUCUAAAAAACGGCUGUUAGCAAGGGCCGGGCAAGACCGGUGCCAGCCGCCGCGGUAAUACCGGCGGCUCGAGUGGUGGCCGAUAUUAUUGAGUCUAAAGGGUCCGUAGCCGGCUUUGCAAGUCUUGUGGGAAAUCCAGCGGCUUAACCGUUGGGCGUCUGCGGGAUACUACAUUGCUUGGGACUGGGAGAGGUAGGAGGUACUCAGGGGGUAGGAGUGAAAUCCUGUAAUCCUCUGGGGACCACCGGUGGCGAAGGCGUCCUACCAGAACAGGUCCGACGGUGAGGGACGAAAGCUAGGGGCACGAACCGGAUUAAAUACCCGGGUAGUCCUAGCCGUAAACGAUGCCCGCUAGGUGUCACGGCAGUCGUGAACUGCCGUGGUGCCGUAGGGAAGCCGUGAAGCGGGCCACUUGGGAAGUACGACCGCAAGGUUGAAACUUAAAGGAAUUGGCGGGGGAGCAC
Molecule: ribosomal RNA, 795 nt
Filed under: uncultured archaeon
Lineage: Archaea
Description: bacterial SSU rRNA
Rfam family: Archaeal small subunit ribosomal RNA
Source: RNAcentral